AGCAGGAGGACGUCACGGCCAAUGUGAUGCAACAGCUCCCCAUCAUCCAGCCCUUGCACCAGGUGCCCGAGGCACCGCAGGGCUUGUGCCUCUGAGGCCACCAGCAACUCCCUGCUGCAGGCCCUGGGAUCUGGCACAGCCUCCCAGAUGGGCGCAGCCUGCAGCUGAGCCACCUCAGGGAGCAGUGGAGACAGGUCACCUCAUCCCAUCAAAGCAAGCAAUGCUGGGUGUCAGAGAGGCUUAGAUGGAAGACUCCUCUCUCAUGGAGUGAGCUGGGGUGGCUCCCCUCCUGCCUAGGGGAGGGAGAGCCCAGCCAGAGGCCAGAGUGGGCGGAGCCCCGGAGCGCUGGGCCCGCCCCUCAAAGGGUCAGGCGGCGACCCGGAACUAUAAAAGCCGGCCCUCAGAGCUCAGUCAGGCCCCAGCUGGCGGAGAGAGCGGACGUACCUCAGCGAGCUCAAGACUUGGAAGCCCUGGCGACCCAGGGAAGCCGCCCAGACUAGCCUGAGCUUCCCCGUGCCCGCUACCUGGAGGUGCUGCCGGAGCUACCCUGUCCCGACUACCCCGAGGAACUGCCAGACCUGCCACCCAGCCCCGGCCGUGACGAGCCCAUGCUCCUGGACCCUCCAGAGGCCAACGUUAGGACCCAGCACCAUGAUACCUGCCCUGGAGCCGGAGCUGGAGACCCACCUCCUCCAAGCUGCCCUGCACACCGUCUUCACCAUGGGCACGGAGAAGGACACCACCCAAGUCCAGGAUCUGCAUAGGGUCUUGCCAGACCUCCUGGACGCCAUGCUGGGGAACCUGCUGGCAGAGUCCCCAGACACUGUCAGGCUCCACUACAUCUUGGAGCACAUUAACUACUGGAUCGUGUCCAGGGUGUCGCAAGACAGAGCCAGGGCCGUUAGGAGCAGUACGGCCCUUUUCAGAUCCACCAUCACCCUCCCUGAGUUUGAC
Mauremys mutica (yellowpond turtle) is the source of this 954-nucleotide long non-coding RNA. RefSeq lists it as uncharacterized. The transcript has 6 exons. The record is from RefSeq and is a predicted model, not a curated record. NCBI's taxonomy places the organism in Eukaryota, Metazoa, Chordata, Testudines, Geoemydidae.